Molecule: non-coding RNA, 996 nt
Organism: Penaeus vannamei (Pacific white shrimp)
Lineage: Eukaryota; Metazoa; Arthropoda; Malacostraca; Decapoda; Penaeidae
Source: RefSeq, a predicted model, not a curated record
GUUUAUUUGUUACAUAUUGCUUGAAUUUUGCUGAAUUGCAUUUUAUUCCUGUUUGUGUUUCAGUAUUACUGAUUCAAGUCAAAAGGAGAAUCUUGGCAUCAUUGUCCAAUACAAGGUUAAAGUAAAGCUGAACCUUGGUCCAUUAGUUGGUGAUCUGGUUGCAGAGUUGCCUUUUACACUGAUGCACCCCAAGCCAGAGGAGGAGCCUGAGGUAAAUAACAAGCCUGCACUCCCUCCUGCUUCCUCUCCGACACAGGAUCCCAAUUCAGCUCCGGCAGUGGACACCAAUCUCAUUGAACUUGACACGGAUGGCACAACUUGUUAUGCUGAUCAAGAUGACGACAUCAUUUUUGAAGAUUUUGCUCGGCUGCGAUUGAAGGGAGAAACAGAGGCGUAGGAACCCUAAUGUCCUCCUGACAGACAAGCAUCCUCUACAGCCAAAGCAGUAUUCACUUGGAAACCUAGAGGGGCUCCCACCAGACUAAUCAUGAAUGCAUAAGGUCAUAGAUACAUGUCAUUUGGGUUUAUUUGUUUCAAGAUUCUGUUACAUGGUUGUAGAAAAAGAAGAUUCAUACUUUUUUUUUUUUUCUUUUUUUCUUUUUAUUACGCAAGCUUACAAAUGCAGACACAUCAGCAAAAUAAGCGCACAAUUAUAGAAAUCUUAAAGAACAUAGUUAUUUGUAUUCACAAUUUGUCUCUUUUCUCCCUCGUUCAUUCACUGUCUCUCUCUUCUCUGUCUUGCCUCCUCUCUUUGAUUUUCCUACUUAUUCCCUCUCUCUUUCUCUCUUCAUAUGUUUUAUACAUACAUGUGUUAUAAGAAAUUGUGAAUGUAUUUGCAAUAUAUUUAUAUUUGAGCUUCAUGUUUAUGCUUUUGCUCAGUACCAUUUUUGCACUUUUUUUUUAAUUACAGAUUAUCUUAUUAUACCUGAAGCAGUUAAUAUUUUGUUUUGUUAUCUUUAAUAUUCUUAGUAUUGGUAUUAUUAUUGAAAUUAGUUG